This 483-nucleotide ribosomal RNA is filed under the name uncultured bacterium. RNAcentral's name for it is "bacterial SSU rRNA". It matches the Rfam family "Bacterial small subunit ribosomal RNA", at positions 25 to 507 of the family's 1533-position model. The record is from RNAcentral.
CAGGAUGAACGCUAGCGGGAGGCCUAACACAUGCAAGCCGAGCGGUAGAGAUUCUUCGGAAUCUUGAGAGCGGCGUACGGGUGCGGAACACGUGUGCAACCUUACCUUUAUCUGGAGGAUAGCCUUUCGAAAGGAAGAUUAAUACUCCAUAAUAUAUUUGAUGGCAUCAUUAAAUAUUGAAAGCUCCGGCGGAUAGAGAUGGGCACGCGCAAGAUUAGCUAGUUGGUGAGGUAACGGCUCACCAAGGCAAUGAUCUUUAGGGGGCCUGAGAGGGUGAUCCCCCACACUGGUACUGAGACACGGACCAGACUCCUACGGGAGGCAGCAGUGAGGAAUAUUGGUCAAUGGGUGCAAGCCUGAACCAGCCAUCCCGCGUGAAGGACGACUGCCCUAUGGGUUGUAAACUUCUUUUGUAUAGGGAUAAACCUACUCUCGUGAGAGUAGCUGAAGGUACUAUACGAAUAAGCACCGGCUAACUCCGUG